Doryrhamphus excisus (bluestripe pipefish) is the source of this 737-nucleotide non-coding RNA. Lineage: Eukaryota; Metazoa; Chordata; Actinopteri; Syngnathiformes; Syngnathidae. The record is from RefSeq and is a predicted model, not a curated record.
UUGCCGUUAUUUGAUGUUUUUGUUAUGCGAAAUAAAAAUUAACAUUAAAAAAUUAAUAUGCUAACAAAUUGUUUGAAUUAAUGACAUUAACAUUUCGAUAUAGAAAGCCUUUCUUGCCUUUCACGCUUCCCCCAACAGUUCACUGCAGCCCCUUUUUUUGCAGAAAAUUUCCGCAUCUACGCAGACAGAAACGGGUGGAAAAAAUGGCAGGUAAUCCUUGAAGCUGAAGUACAGAAAUACCAGAAAUACCAGCAUUUAUAUGAGGCAGCCCCCCGUGAUGCACAGUAGCUUAAGCAUAAAGAAAGACUGAAAGAAGUUGUUUGAAGUCAAGUUGUUUGUUUUUUAUUUUCUUUUGUAAGCACAUUCUCCCGCCAGGAUACAAGAGCCUGUGGUGUUGGAGAGGAAGAAAGAGGAGAUGAAGGAAGAACAAAAGUCAUUUGGCGCUGCGAUUGCAGCACUCCUAUUCAAAGGACGAGUGGACCACCUUCUCUUCCUUCUCUGUCGCAGCGGCAAGAAAUACAACCUGAUUUCUCCUCUUCAAGAAGUAGACACGCAAGGCGUACGCCCAGUGAUUGGUCACACUCCCAAGCGCUCCCAAGGACUUCUGGAUACGUUGUUUUGUGUUUACUAAUUGAUUUCAUUGCAUGAAACAAUUAUUUGUUAUACUUUUGUUUGCAGGGCAUGAAAAAGGAAACAUACAUAGGCUAAAAAGCAUAAAUAAAGAAAACUACUUUAUA